Non-coding RNA from Rattus norvegicus (Norway rat), 19183 nucleotides. NCBI's taxonomy places the organism in Eukaryota, Metazoa, Chordata, Mammalia, Rodentia, Muridae. The record is from RefSeq and is a predicted model, not a curated record.
CUGCCUAGAAUGGAAAGAAGGGAUGCAGUUAAGUAACCUUGUUCCAUAUGCCCUUUCCCACAAAAGAUCCACUCGAUUUUUGACUGGGCUCAGUUCUCUAUUACCUUACUGAGAAGAUAUCCCUCGUCUCUGGAUACUGUAUGUAUAAGCUUUUGGUAAGCAUAAGGGAUAAAAACAUACAAACAUAGGCAAUAUAAAAAUGCCCCAUUACUGACAUUAAGGGGUAAUAAGGCAUGAUUAAAUCAUUACGACACAGAAAUUGUUUGCAGACUGCUAUUAAAUACAAUCCGAAAGGAAGUGGUGUUCUGACUAGAAAAACUAGAGCUGAGUUCAGACCACACACGUAAAAACAAUACUGGGAGCCCACACUGGGCCUUGAAUUCAUGAGAAUUCCCCUUCUUUAGCUUUCCAAACUCUGGGAUUAUAGGCAGUGUACUACUACACAUGACUUUGUACAGUUUAAAAUUGUGUAAUCAUCUGGGGGCAAAGCAUGUCUAAACAAAGACGAGGACAUUAGAGAUGGGGCUUUGAUAUAUAAAGUAGACUUGGAUCACUCAUCCAGAGCAUGAACAUUUGAAAAUGCUAACCAACCGUCACACUCCUAGGAAAAAUGUUGAAAUAGGGAUUACAUUUAAAAUAACUAUAAAAGACAGCAAAACACUCUGCUAAAAUUUACAGACAUUAAUGUACACCCAGAAAAGCUAUCUUACCAGCAGCCAUCCCCCAGACAGGGUGAUUGUUCCAGAGUCAGUACUAUGAGCCACAAUUCCCAAGCCUUCAUGCCCACCAAUGCAGAACUUCCUCUAAGCUAUGAGACAAUCAAGCUAUGUGACUGACCUGGAGAACUCAACAGCUCAGUGUGAGGACCACCAAGAUCAACAUGCCUAGAGAGGUCUCUGUGCCUAACCAUGUGGUCUGGUGCCUGUUCAACGCCUGCUGCCUGGAUUUCAUUGCCUAUGCCUACUCUGUGAAGUCCAGGGACAGGAAGAUGGUGGGCAAUGUGAUAGGAGCCCACUUAUGCCUCCACUGACAAGUGCCUGGACGUCAGCUCCCUGAUCUUCAGCAUCCUCAUGGUGAUUCUCUGCAUCAUUAUUUUCUCUACUACCUCUGUGGUAGUCUUUCAGUUUUAUUCACAAAGAACGCCACAUUUGGAUUCUGGCUGCUCAGGGUCUACUAUCCACAUCUGGCCCUCCCUUAAGGCUGAGGCCUUGACCCUUUACCCUAUGCAUAUGCAAAUGUUACCUUCACCUAUCUGUCCACAGUGGAUUCAGUAAAGUGCACUUGGUAGCAAAAAGGAAGGAAGAAAAGAAAGAAAGAGGGCUGGAGAGAUGGCUCAGUGGUAAGAGCACUGGCUGCUCUUGCAGAGGACUUGGGUUCAAUUCCCAGGAAUUAUGAAGCACCUAACAACUGUAAAUCCAGUUUUAAAAGGGACUGAAGCAUCACAUAUACAUAGGCAUAGGUAUGUAGGCAAAAACACCAAUGCACAUAAAAUAACAUUUUUUUCAAAAAGCUGCUACUAAAAUAAAACAAAAGGAAUUCGAGGGGGCCCAACAAAAUGGGUCACUGUGUAAACACACUUGCUGUACAGGCCUAGUGACCUGAGAGAGAAUUCACUCGCCACACAUGUACUGUGGCAAACAUGCCUAUGCACACACAUCAUAACUUCUAUAAUAACAACAAUGACCUAUGCACACAUAUCAUACACUUCUAUAAUAAUAACAGUAAUGACCACACAUGUACUGUGGCAAACAUGCCUAUGCACACACAUCAUACACUUAUACAAUAAUAACAGUAAUGACCUUUGUUUUCAAGAGGAGGUGAGAUGUCGCUCAGUGUGUUGAGUGUUUGACUAACAAGCUCUAAGCCUAGAUGUGAUCCCAGCACUGCAUAAAAUGGAUGUGGUGAUCCUGUUUUUAACCCUAGCAUGCCAGCUCUCAGGAGGCUGCAGCAGAUUCAAGGUCACCUUCAGAUACAAAGCAAACCCAAGGGCAGCUUGGGAUAAAUCAGCACAUAAAAGUCUAGUUUAAGCCAACAGAACCAACAGAAUGUUUGUCUUUCUUUUUUUGUUUUUUUUCCAACUUUAAUUUCAAAUUUGAAACCAGUCUAGGUUUCAUUCAAAGUCCUUGGUUUUUGUUUGUUUGUUUAAAAAAGCCAGGCAUGAUGGCAUAAGCCUUUUAUCCCAGCAGUGGAGGUAGGGGUCAGAGGCUGAGGAAGGUUUCUCUGUGUAACCCUGGCUAUACUGGAACUCACUCUGUAGAACUUACAGCCUCAACCUCAGAGAUCUGCCUGCUUCUGCUGGAUUAAAGGCGUAUGGCAAAAACAAUUUUCUUGGGGCGCGGGGGGAGGGUAAUUUGUAUUUUAUUUUGUCUUUUAUAUGUAGGUACUUUUUCUCCUUCUUUAAAAGCCCUCUCCCCACCCACCCACCUUGUGGCUCCCUACCCCUCAUCUGUUUAGCUCAAAUGACAUGGCUAUUUCCUCUUUACUUCAACCUCCACCUCUAGGCAGCUUCUAGAUUUACCGCUUACGGACCUAAGAUGCUUUACACUCUACUAAGCUUAAAACACACAGACACCAACAGUAUUUCCGCAUACCAACAAAGGUCAAUCCCUCUAGCAGACACCACUCUAGCAGAAUUUAGGAAGAAACAUAACAAAAGGGAUGGGGUGGGAGGUGGGGGAAUGGUGCAGACCACUGGCCAAGGUCAAGAAGACCCAUCCUUUGACAGCCAACACUGCAGAAAUGAAGUGAUGAAGGGUGUUGGUUCUCCUUAGGGCAAUCACCAUAAGAUUGUGAGGACUCAGGGUUGGGUAUUUAGCUCAGUGGUAGAGCUAGCAAGUGCAAGGCCCUGGGUUUGGUCCUCAGCUCCGGGUUUUUGUGUGUGUGUGUGUGUGUGUGUGUGUGUGUGUGUGUGUGUGUGUAUGUGAUGAUUCAUGACACCAUCAAGAUCACUUGAUAUAAUAUUUCCCUCAAACCUUUUUUUAAAAAAAUAUAAAUUCAAAAUGAAACAAAGAAUUAUUCAGUGGACAUAGUCAUAUUAACAGAACUAAGACAUAUAAUUGGGGGAUGGAGAGAUGGCUCAGCAGUUAAGAUCACUGACUGCUCUUACAGAGGUCCUGAGUUCAAUUCCCAGCAACCACAUGGUGGCUCACAACCAUCUGUAAUGGGAUCUGAUGCACUCUUCUGGUGUGUCUGAAGACAGCUACAGUGUAUUCAUAUAAAUAAAAUAAAUCUUUAAAAAAAAAAAAAAAACCAAACCUGAGGGUAUUUCCUAACAUGGUGCUGUGAAACCGGCAGGAAUUUUAACAAAUCAAGUUCUGAAGGGAUGAGAACUUACAAUAAAACCUGGCCUAAGGCAAGGUUUCAACGUGGCAGCAUCAAACACACACCACUUUCACAAUAAAAUACACACCAAUGACAUUUUUCCAACACUUAUAGCCAGUCACUCGCCAAGAUCUGUGAGAAAGCCAGAGUCCUCACCUUCCAGCCUAGAGCAUGCAGCCCUACCACUGCCCCAUAGUGAGAACAGAGAGGCCGUACAGGGUCUGUCAGGACCUUCUGCAGGGAGAGCAGAAUCUGCUGAUAGAGGCCACUUACAAGGUCUCCAUGAGUCCUGUGGAAGUAACAGGAGGAAAGAGAAUGAGAUACCACACAUAAGGUGUGUAACAUUUGUAGACCUCUCUGAGACAGGCUGCCAGGUGUGACUGGCCCAGGAUCCAAGGGACAAGACUUCUAUAUCUUAGUAUAUUUGUAACUGUACCAUGGCCUGCCAGCUAGGGGGCUCUAAGGAGAGGCUCCACAUUUAACAUUUAAUCUAAGAGCCAGAGGCAUCAUACAGCUCCCUAUCACAACCCAAUCAACUCUAUAAGCUAUCCCACCCUCUGUUCAGCUUGAGCCCAAUGGCUACCAGAAGAUGUGGCUGAGUAGGAGGGCAGCCCCAUCUCGCAGAGUCCAGUGGUCAUUCAAAGGGUUGAUGGAGGCAGCCAGUGGCUCCAAGACACAGUAAAGCACGCUGCCCACCAGAGAUCGGACAUAGGGCCCCAAGCAGAGGUGUGGGUUCCGUAUCAGGCUCCGUGCUACCUGCAGUAGUCGGUGCAGCUGCUCCAGGUCGUGGCUUACAGAUUUUACCUGUGGUAGGAGUGGGUAGCUUAGAGAGACAUGGAGAGACAGGAGCUUGCAAUUCUGACAGCAUCUUCUAUGAGCCCUAAACCAAGAAGGGUCAUGUUCGCUAGAGAAUUGAUCACUUACCCCACUGACCACAUAAACAAAGUAAGGCAGGAGUGCUGCAAUCUUGGAGUUUGUCUGCAGGUCCUGGAGGGCAACCUGAAAGAAACCACCUCAAUAAAAGGAAAGCUCUGGAGCCCGGGUUAGGACCCAUGUGUUAGCAUAGCAUGGGCUGGAGAGAUGGCUCAGUGGUUAAGAGCCCCGGCUGCUCUUCCAGAGGUCCAGAGUUCAAUUCCCAGCAACCACAUGGUGGCUCACAACCAUCUGUAGUGGGGUCCAGUACCCUCUUCUGGAGACAGUGACAGUGUACUUAUAUAUAAUAAAUGAAUAAAUCUUUAAAAAAAAAAAGAAACCCACUGACAUAGACAAGAACAGUACUGUCUGUUUACAAGAAAAGAAAAGCACAAGGCUAAGUGUGGCACAGGAAGCAGGUGGGGGCCAGUGUAAAGCCAGCAUGACCCUCUUUCCAAAAGAAAAAAAAGUGGGGACAGUGAGACUGUUCAGUCUGGUAAAAGCACAUGUUGCACAAGGCCAUCAACCGAAGUUCAAAUCUCACAAACCACGUAAAAGUAGAAGAAAGCUAACAAGUGUUUUCUGGAGACGGGGUUUCUAUAUGUAACAGCCCUGGCUGUUCUGGAACUCACUCUGUAGACCAAGCUGACUUUGAACCCACAGAGAUGCUCCUGCCUCGGCCUCCCAAGUGCUGUAACUAAGGGCAUGUGCCACCACCACCACGCUCAGAGUGUUUUUUUUUUUUUUUUUUAACCUUCACACAGGUGCACAGCAUGCACAAGUGUGUGAGCAAUUGUUCUGGUUUUUUUCGUUUGUUUUUGGUUUUUGUUUUUGUUUUUGUUUUUUGUUUUUUUUUUAAGACAGGGUCUGAUGUAGACGGCCCUUUAAUUAUGUAGCUGAGGACACCUUGAACUUCUGAUCACCCCGCUUCCCAUUUCCUAAGUGCUAGGAUUACUGGUGUUUGCUGCCAUGUCUAGUUAUUCAACAUCAUGUUAACUAAAAAAAUGGAGCUGUAGGUUUCCCUUGGUGGCUGGAGCCUGUAUAGCUCUGCAAAUGGGAGGCGGAGACAUAAAGGAUCACUGCAAAUGGCCCGAGCUGCCACAGUGAGUUCCAGGCCACAGGUUACACAGCAAGACUAAGACUAACCCUUGUCUCAAACAAAACAAAACCCCAGCUAAAAAAGGUAAGCUGUGAAAGCAGAUUAUGCUUAUGUGAUAGCAACAGUAACUUGCACUAGGAGCUAACCCGCGGGAGUGAGCCGCAGACCGUGUGCUUUCUACUGAAAAUAGCUCUGUCCUAAAUGCAUACUGGUGUUACUUUUAUAGGCAGAAGACAUUUAUUACAGCAAAAACAAAACUACAUCUGGGGCUGGAAAGAUGGCUCCGAAGUCGAGAGCGUUAAGAGUAACUGCUGUUCUUACAGAGGACCAGGGUUCAGUUCCCAGCUCUCACGGAACAGUUUACAACUCUGUAACUCCAUUGUAGGGGACACACAGCCUCUUCUGAUCUCCAUGGACACUGAGCAAAGACGAUGCACUUUCAUGCAUGCAGGCAAAACACUCACACACAGCAAAUAAAAAGCGAACAGUUCUUUAAGAAGAUUAAAAAGCAGCUAGGUGGCGGUGGCACAUCCCAUCAAUCCCAGCACUCAGGAGGCAGAGGUGGGAGGAUCUCUGUGAGUUCAAAGUCAGCAUGGUCUACAGAGAUACUUUUAGAACGACCAAGAAACAAACAAACAAACAAACAAACAGUGUCUGGAAAACAGCUAAGAGGUGGGCAGGGUGCCUUUUAAUCCUAGAGCUACAGGGAAGGAGGUAGGCAGAUCUACUGAGUUCAUGGUCAUCAGGCCAACCUACAUAGAAAGACCCUGUCUCAAAAAACAUAACCACCCAAAAAAACCCACCUCAUCCAUAAACUUGGGGCCAUCCAAGCCCUCUAGACAAGGAGGUGAGAGUGAAGAAGGGCCUAGCUCCCAGCCUCACAGCUGCUAGCUACAGGUGACUAAGAAGACAAACAAGAGCUAAGUUUCUGUUUCCUUGGCUUUUGUUGUCUACAGUGACAGGGUCUUACAAAGAAGCCCACAGUCCAGCCUCAAACUUGCCAUCUUCCAACCAGUGCUGAUAUUAUAGGCCCAUGCCACUGUGCGUGCCUCUGAGUGUUGGGACUCCAAUCCAGGCUUCUGCAUAUGCUAGUCAAUGCAGGGUAGCCUACCAGCCAAGUUCUGGGGAUAGAAACGGAUGCUGGCAAUGUUCCUAGUUUAUAAGCACAAAAGCAGCAGCUAGACAUGUGAGGACGGAGGAUCUAACUGCACACAGAAAGGUAAUAUGAUUAAGCAAACCAGAGUCUUCAUCUGGCCAUGGGUGGUGUCCAGAGGUUAAACCAAUAGCAGCUACCAGCCCAGGAACUAGAGAACCAGCCCAGUCUGUAGUGCACGCCAGGCUGGGCACCUAGGGGGACCUGACCUGGACCUCUAUUUCUUUUCCUUUCCUUACCAAGUCCAGAUAAAUUAAUGCCUCAAUUGGUUCCAGAUCAAUGGAUACCCAAAAAGAAAAGGGAACCCAAAUGAAGGUGUGGGAACACAAUCAGUAGAAGCGCCUGUAGUGCUGCCCAUUGCCAAGGAAGAAAGGGUUCUACUCAGGUACAAAGGAGCCAGGACUUGCACAGUAGGAGACCACUCAGAACACACACACCACUGGAGAACAGGUUCCACCACAGUAACUAGUUCACCUACGGAGAAUAGGAAUUAGAUGGCUGAAAAUACCCCAAGAUUUAAAGCUUUGACUUUAGGCCUAGUCAGGCUCAGUCUUUCACCUUCAUCAGCUGUGGAUCAUCGCCCAGCACAGCCCGUGUCACUUGCUGGUAGUAUUUGAGCAGGUCAUCUGUCAGUGAAGACACUGCACUGGGCACUGUGAGGAGAUAGGAAGGAAGUGGUCACCGAUAGACAGAUAACCUUCUGGAGGCUGCUGCCCUCCAACCAGCACUACCCCCAUGCACAGGCUCCAGCUGCACUCUGAUCAGGUAGGUUCCACGGGUCUCGGUUCUAUCUACUCUCACCUACCCUCUGCCCCACAGUUUCCUGCUCAGUUCUCAAGCUUCCAGUGGACAAGCCUCAGGCUCUUCAAGCUCUACUCAGCAUACCCUGGAAGUAAGACACUUCUCGGGGACCUCAGCAUGCAACCCAGACUUCUGUCUUGACCUCCAACAUACUGAAUGGUAACGGGUCAGGGUUCUAACUGUAACCAUAAGCCUUCUGGACAAGGACCUGUGUCCCUUUAGAACAGCAGGCACCCAUACAUGCUUGUGAGAUGCAGACCAAAAGGCAAGAGGCCCCUCACUCCUAUAGAGCUCUUCCAGACAGCCCAUUCUCCACACUGCCUUACCUGAUCCCUGAGGUGCCAGAUUUCCCUUGCCAUCCAGAUAGGAGACAUGAACUAGAAUCAGGAGACAUAGAUGGAUGUCAGUUGGGAUUUUACCCCUCCAAAUUCUGCCCUACCUCCAAGCUGGCCCAUCAGCACCACUCAGACCAUCCGGUUUGUGUCCUAACCCCAAGAAGGACCCUAGCAGCCACCUCUGACGGCUGUCUCUGCACAGCCCUUGGGGAUGUUAGUGGCCAGUGCCAGCUCCACCAGGUUCACUUCUCGAUCCUCUGGAAAGUAGAGUUCCCCCUCCCUUGCAGGGCGCAAGGGCAACACCUCCUGGGACCCAUAGCCACACACAGCCUGAGGAGAAAGAAGUUGACAAGCAGGGUGAAUUCAGUGAAGGAACAGGAGCCAGGCUCUCCUGACCGGGGCAGGAAGCCUACGCUGGAGGGUAGGCCACAUGUCCCCAGAAGCAAGAUGCCUGGAGAUCAGAGCUGUCUGUGGUUCACUGGGUCAAGAUUAUAUGUUGUCUUUCCUGGCAUAACUGUAAGGGUUCUGUGCCCCACUGCUAAGGAGCCAGUCUCUCCCGUUCACACCCAAACAAUUCUCAAAACAUAUUACCUUCCUCCCUCAACUCCUGGCCCCAGAGCUAUACCAAGACAGGUUAGCAUCCCCAUGUUUCUUCGGGCUGUUUACUUACCCAGCAUCCCUCUUUAUUUCUUCAAGCUCAUGUUCCUCAGUAAGGCCUGGCUCAAGCUCUACCUCUUCUGUGAGGCCUUCCCCAACCUCCAGAACUCAUGGGCCUUCCCAUUCUUUAGGCCCAGCACCUGGUCUGCUACAUUGUGUGUUUGUCCCCAGGUCUUACCCCUGCCAUCCCUGAUCUGAACAGGAGAGGUGGCUGGGCAUCCCCUGGGCCCUCUAUGGCCACACUCCACUAACCUCCACACUGCUCCACCUGAGAGCCCUGUUGAAGUCCUCCACUGUCAGCUUCCUUCGUUUGGUGUGUUUCAUGAACUGAGAGCUGUUCUGGGAGGGGAGGGAGAGAAUCCAGAAUCAGGGGACAGGGAGCAAAUAUGGGAACCCCCAAGGGAAAUGGGCUAGACUGAAAAGACAGAGAGAACUCCACACCAGCAGUCAGAGAGCCUGCAUUUCCAGCUCAGCUUUUGCACACCUUCCGCAUGCCAUGUCCCCAUGUGUGCCUCAGUGUCUGGUGUACAGUCUCACUAUCCAUCUCUUCUGCCUAGGUAGUGGGGCACUGUGAGAAAGUGUCAUGAGAAAGUGCCCAGCAAGUGUGUUCUUUUCUAGAUGUGUAACUGGCUAGAAAGAGACUCUCUUCUGACCUCAAAGCACAAGAUACCUGGCAUACGUUUGCUGAGGAUGUCAGUGGGAAGAACAAAGGGAGGAGGAGUGAGGGGAAGUGAGAGCAGCACACCUGGGUGGCCUCUCUGAGACGGUAGCACACAUCUUCAGCAAGCAGAGCGGCCACUUCGUCACUCAGCUCCAGCCCGGUGCUCUCUGCCAUGAGCCGGACUGACUCCCGAGGGAUCUCCACAAACCGCCUCUCUUCUCUUUCUGACAUGGCUCCAGUGGAACUGCAAAUGGAAAAAGAAGGUUGAAAAGCUGCCUAGUAUCUCUGAGAUUUCCCCCAAGCGUGAGGCAAGCAAGACCAUUCCAACCAUAUCUGCUCGUCUUGUCUUAUAAGCCACAAAGAGGGAGCUAAAGACUCAGCACAGCCCAGGUCCAGGAUGACCCACCCAGGAAUGCUCCCAGGACCAUCUCCAGGACCAAUAUGCACCCUACGUCAUCCACACAGCCAUCCUCCCAGUGGUUGCCGUUGUAAUACAGAAAGAUACCAGUCCAUGUGGUGAAGGCUAUGCAUGUGCCUUGCCAGCAUCUGUCUACAAAACCCUACUGUUUCUCGUCUUGUGUUCUAGACUCACACUUAUUGCCACCUUUAUCCCCUUACUUCAGGCCACAGUGUUCCUUCUGUCUGACACUGCCCUUCCUUUGUUCUCCUCCCCGAAUCUCUUAGACUCGGUGACCCAUCACCUACUCCAUCCUUCAGAUCCCUGUUCAAAUGUCAAGGACGUCUUCCCAGAUUGUACUGACUGUCCCUGUCAUUUGUCUUCAGUUAUGAAGCAGGAGGAUGGAUAACAGUUCAAAGUCCACCUGAACUAUUAAGUGAGUUGAAGGUUACCCUAACAACUCAGACUAUCUCAAAAUAAAAUGUAAAAAGAAGGCUGGAGCUAGACAGUGGUGGCUCACAUUUUAAUCCCAGAACUCAGGAUGCAAAGACAGGUGGAUCUCUGAGUUCGAGGCUAGCCCGGUCUACAGUGUGAGUUCCAGGACAGCCUGGGAUACACAGAGAAACCCUAUCCUGAAAGAAAGAAAGAAAGAAAGAAAGAAAAAAAAAAAAAAAAAACCUGGAGAUACCGCUCAGUGGCAGAGAGCUUUCCUAACAGGUGUGCUGCCUUAGGUUCAAAGACUCUGUAACUUCACAGCACAGCUCUUUACAACCAACCCCACUCUUUUUUAAGGGGGUACCGGGGCAUGCGCAUGCAGUUCCACAGUUGACUGAAAGUUGUACAGCAGCAGAGACCACAGUCCAUAUGCUCACCUGUGCAUCCCAAGCCUCCAGCAGGAUCAGCACACACUAUGCCCCCAUUCACACUUGCUGAAAAAAAGAAAGGAUAGUUGUUGUUUCUGAGACAGCGUCUAGACCAGGCUGACCCCCAACUCACAGAGAUCUCUCUGCCCCUGCCCCCCACCCCACACACCGAGUGCUAGAACUAGGGACAUAGGUCAGGACUCCUGGCCAUGAACAGCUUUGUUUUUUAAACAUUUAUUCACUAUUAUGUGCACUGGUGUUCUGCCUGCACGUAUAUGUCUGUGUAAGGAUGCCAGAUCCCCUGGAACUGGAGUUACAGACAGUUGUGACCUGCUAUGUCGGUGCUGAGAAUCAAACCUGGGUCCUCCAGAAGAGUAGCCAACUGCUCAGCCAUCUCUCCAGCCCAGCUAUUUUCUUUUUUCUUUUUUCAGAACUGGGGAUCGAACCCAGGGCCUUGCGCUUGCUAGGCAAGUGCUCUACCACUGAGCUAAAUCCCCAACCCCCCAGCUAUUUUUCUAAACACAUAAAUGCCCGUGGCUUCCAGCUAGUAACACUCUAUGACCUCAUCCUACCCUCACUAACACAGAGAUGUAUAGUUGUAUACAAUUGUCCAUUUCACAAAGUCCAGGAAGUUUCAGCUCAGAGAGGUUACCCGAACUGUCAAGACCAAACAGUAAGCACUGGGUAAUUAGAUUGCAGGGACUCAAACCCUGGCUGUAAUUCAAGUCAGGAUAAUAUAUUCAUGAGCGGUAGGUUUGUGUUUGAACUAGGCCUGGCUUUGUAGCCCAAAGAUUUAAAGUCCCACCACCAGACUCACCACUGAAUGAGUAUGCUUCAGUUUUCCCAUCUGUAAAAUGGUAGCAUUCAGUCUUGCUCAAGUGGAAAGUCAGAAGGGAGUUUCUCUAUUAUGUUCCCCUGUUGAGACCUCACAAAAUCCAGUCUGUGACCAAGGUCUCCCACUCCUUAGUCUCCUGUCCUGCACAACCUCAGUUCCAAGUCCUCCUGACCAGGAGGCGUGGGAACCGACUUCCAAGGGCUUCUAGGUUGCGCAUUCUUCCCACCCACCUACCUCCAACCCAGAUCCAGAGGGCGUGGGGUCGAGUGGGGAGGUCAGGGGUUACGGAACUUGUGUCACGUGCUCGAUGAGGGGGCGGGCCCCCGUGGGCUCCGAGGCUGGUGAGCAGCCCACCGUGAGAAGCAAUCCCUGGGUCCGGGCUGGACUCGCUCACCUCCGGACUCCGGCGUCGGGAAGGCGCCUGCCGGGGAGGAGAAGGUUGCUUCCACUCACCGGCUCACGGUAAUUCCCUCUCUCCGCGCUCAGGCUCCGCCCUCCAUACGCGGAGCCAAUCGGCGGCCGUCUACUGAGUUCUCCGCCCACCAAAGAGGCGUUCCACCUCAAGAUUGGUCAGUGUGAAUGUGCGGUAAGGGCACUAAGGCGUCGUUGGUCACGUGAGUGGCGCUUCUUAAAGCAACAGCUCUUGUUGGUGAGCUAACAGGUGUGUCACUGCAUAAAACAAGCUGGCCAUGAAACUCAGGCCUUCCUCUGCUUCCAGAGUGCUGGGAUCAAAGGUGUGUGCUACCACACCGCUUUCCAGUUUAUGAUUUUAAAAGUUUAAUUCUGGACUGGAGAAAUGGCUCAGUGGUUAAGAGUAGUAACUGCUCUUCCAGAGGUCCUGAGUUCAAGUCCCAGCAACCACAUGGUGGCUCACAACCAUCUGUAAUGAGAUCUGAUGCCCUCUUCUGGUGUGUGAAGACAGCUACAGUGUAUUCACAUACAUAAAAUAAAUAAGUAAGUCUUUAAAAAAAAAGUUUAAUUGUGUGUGUGUGUGUGUGUGUGUGUGUGUGUAAGCUUGCAAAUAAGAGGACAACUUUGAGGAGCUGAUACUCUUGUUCUACUGUGUAGGGACCAACAGUUGAACUCAGGUUGUCCGGCUUAUGCAACAAGCUUUUUUACUUGUCUUCGCCAGCCCACCAGUCCUGUGUAAAGCUGCAUACAGCUCACGUUGUAACAUGCUUGUCUAGUACUUGCAGGACAUAAACUAGCAAGCACUUGGGUGAAAACGGGAGGAUCAGAAGUUCAAUACUAUCCUUGGCUACUUAACAAGUUUAAGGCUAUAGGAAUAGGGAUAUAGGAAACCCUAAGAAAGUAAAAUUUAUUUACUGUGCUUUAGGUGAUCAAACCUACAGCUUUGCAUGUGAUAGACAAAUGUUCUACCACUAAGCUACAUCCUCAGUGUUCUUUAUUAUCUAUUUUUUUAAUAAAUCUUUUUUUUUAAACAUUGUUGUGAGCCACCGUGUGGUUGCUGAGAAUUGAACUCGGGACCUCUGGAAAAGCAGUCAAGGAAGCCAGAGUGGCCGGAACUCCUGAAAAUGGAGUAACAACAGGUUGUUGUGAGGGUAAUUGAACUCAGGUCCUAUGCAAGAGCAACAAGAGGUCUUAGCCCUUUAUUAUUUUUUAAUAUCUAAUUAUUUUUUUAUUUUUUUAUUUUUAUUUAUUUAUUAUAUAUAAGUACACUGUAGCUGUCUUCAGAUACACCAGAAGAGGGCAUCAGAUCUCUUUACAGAUGGUUGUGAGCCACCAUGUGGUUGCUGGGAAUUGAACUCAUGACCUCUGGAAGAGCAGUCGGGUGCUCUUAACCACUGAGCCAUCUCUCCAGCCCUAAUUAUUUAUUUUAUGUAUGUGAGUACACUGUAGUUGUCUUAAGACACACCAGAAGAGGGCAUCGGGUAUCAGAUCACCAUUACAGAUGGUUGUGAGCCACCAUGUGGUUGCUGGGAAUUGAACUCAGGACCUCUGAAGAGCAGUCAGCAUUCUUAACGACUGAGCCAUCUCUCCAGCCCAACCCCCCCCUCCAUUUUUUUUAAUACCAAAAAGGAGCUUCCUGCAAGAGAACAUGGCCAUAUACAUCCACCCCUCUUUCUUUGAGGUUUUGAUAGUGCUGCUGCUCCUGCUGCUUGGAAAAGAAAAUCCUCUAGGACUAAGCUAAAAGAGCCAGAUGGAUGGAAUUGCGGUUGCCAUGGCAACACCAUCUGAGGAUACUGAGCCUGCUGUCUCUCCCAGUUAUGUUGACAUUUGGUGUGGUUUCCAUGCUUGAACACUGAAGUGUCUGUCCACCUAUGAAAGAGAGGCCGUUCCCAGAGGUCUUAAUUUAUCUGCUCCAUCAGUAGCAUUUGGACUGCUUACAUUUAUGUCUGGACAACCAUUGGCCAGGAGGUAGAAGAGGAUGGAGGAAGGCCCAGACCUGGCUGGGUACUAUCGGAUCUAGUGAAGCUGUAUAGAAUCUGUCUGGGGUUUAUUUACUCCCAACUGGAGCAGAGGCAGGUGCUCAGGAAGGCAGUAAUGAGAUCGACCUUACCACAGGAAAUAAAGUGACUACUGUGGAUACCAUCUGGGAUGGAUCACCGCUGAGCCACUCCACCCUCAGAACAAAGCUACCAUAUCGUUAAAGUGUCCUGAGCUCAGGGGAAGGCCCCUGCUGCCUGUGAGUAGAGCCAGGUAACCUUAACAAGCCCUAUCUACACUUCAUCUUAAGGCAUUCUGUUACAUACAAAGAAUUCUACUCUUUAAUGAGCAGACUUUAAAAAAAAUGAGCCAACUUACACUUUCAGAAGUUUGAUCCUUGAUUGCACAUGCCUGAGACAGAUGGCCAGUCUCAAGGACAGGCCUCCCACACUGAAGUUAGUCUUCAGCAGUAUGUCAUGUCACCUAGGCAACCAAUAAGAGCUCACCUAAGAAAUUUCCACUUUACCUGGUAAAGAGCGUAUCUUCCCUCCCUUUCUCUCCAAUUAGCAUCCUCACUUCCAGACUUCCCUACUACCGACUUUAAAAGAUCAAAGCCAGGCACGAUAGCACAGGCUGAGGUCGGAAGGCAGAAGCCAGAAAGAUCUAUGUGAUUCCCAGGCUACUUAGCACCACACAGUUGAGACCCUGUCUAACAAAUGGAGGUGGGAGGCAUGGCAGUAACCUGAACCUACAAAUUUAUCAAAAUUUCAAUUAAGAACAUUUUGUUUUGUUUUUGAGGCAGAAUCUCACUACGUAGAGUGGGCUUACACCCAGUUCCAAUUAAGAACAUUUUAAGGGCUGGAGAGAUGGCUCAGCUGUUAAGAGCACUGGCCACUCUUCCCAAGGUCCUGAGUACAAUUCCCAGCAACCACAUGAUGGCUCACAACCAUCUGUAAUGAGGCCUGAUGCCCUCUUCUCUUGUGUCUGAAGACAGCUACAGUGUCCUCAUUUAAAUAAAAAAACAUUUUAAAUAGAAAAUCCAACAGGGAGGCUGAUGAGAAACGACAUAACCUUUGUCCAGGAGUGUGGUUAAGGGGAAUGGAACCAUAGUAGAGUCCAUUUCUUUUUCUCUUUUGAGCCAAAAAAGUUUUAUUUAUUCAUGUCUUCCAUUUGAAGUACUCCUUGGUGGCAUCCUAAGCCUGAGAUUCUUUGCCAUACGUAGUUCUUAACCACUACCCAACUGCAACCAACUGUUUUCUGUGGCAUCCCUCUUGAUGACUUUUACACAGGGGUUGGGGAUUUAGCUCAGUGGUAGAGCGCUUGCCUAGGAAGCACAAGGCCCUGGGUUCGGUCCCCAGCUCCGGAAAAAAAAAAGAUUUUUACACGGGCACACCCACUCCACUAGUUUCUCAUGAUCAAGUAUAAUCAGAUUGAUCUGGUGCUCGGCACAAAGUGCCUCCUCCAGCUCGACACACACGAGCUCAUCACAGUCGGAUUCGAGCACACAGAUGGGUUUGGCACUUGUCUAAGGCUUCAGGAGCUUUGUGUUUGCCAACGUGCUGGGCUAUCGUGGAUGAGGGCGGUCUUCAGCACCUCUUGUAGAGCAGUGUUGACAUCCACACCUCCAGUGGCAGUGCCCUGCUCCGCUCUCGGAAGCUGAGGUGGAAUAGCAAGUCAGUUUCUUCUCUCAUUUCCCAGACACCAUUAUGGAUGCCUCAGUGUCAGCUGUUCAUUUGUCACUUACUUUUCACAAUUGUGUUAUUAUUAUUGAUAGAUUAUUGUCUCUGUCACUAGCUACCGAGGCAGGGUCUCACAGGACUUAUCCAAUUGUUUCUGCCUCCCUCGAGCUAAGCCUGAAGGCAUAUAUGAAUCAUCUCACCAAGCAGCAUCAGCUUUUAAGAGUUUCUGAACGUCAACACGUUAACACUGGGGCCAUAUUAUGUACGAUGUAAUUAAUCCUCGAGCAACUGGCCACACAGCCCUAAAAGAAAAAAAAAUCCAGAACCAAACAAACCAAAAACAGGCACGAAUGGUGGCACACACCUUCAAUCUUUACACUUGGAAGGUGGAUCCAGGAGGAGUAGGAAUUCGAAGCCGGCCUAGAGUACCAGUAGUUGAAGGCCAGCAUCUGUCUCAAAGCAAACAACGAUAAUAAAGUACUUGUUUCAGCUGGGAGGUGGUGGUACAUUGUGGAGGGAGAGGCAGACCUUGAACACUGGGUUCAAGGCCAGCCUGGUCUAGAGAUCAGAUCCCCAAAACAGCCAGGGAUAGACAGAGAAGCCCUGUCUCAAAACGUGAGGCUGGAGAGAUGGCUUAGUGGUUAAGAGCACUGACUGCUCUUCUAGAGAUCCUGAGUUCAAUUCCCAGCAGCUAUAUGGUGGCUCACAACCAUCUGUAAUGGGAUCUGAUGCCCUCUUCUGUGUGUCUGAAGACAGCUACAGUGUACUUAUAUACAUGAAAUAAAUCUAAAAAUAAUAAUAACGUGCACAAUGUUCUGCCUGCCUAUAUGCCUGCAAGCCAUCCCUCCAACCCAAUAAAUAAAUAUUAAAAAAAAAAAAAAGCACAAAACCAAACCAAAAGUAAAAUAAAUAAACAACUUUUAUUCCUACCAAGAGAAGACACAUUUCCUUGAGAACUAAGGACAACAUGUUUAUGGUUAGAACACAGAAGAGAAUAAGAGCACAGCUCAGCUGGAAGAAACAAAGUGUUCUGGGGACAAGGAGCCUUCUUCCCUGCCCCCAUAACAGUGGCCAGAUUGAACCUCUGGUACGACAGUCAAGUUGGUGCUGAGUUCAAGUUGGAAAGUCACACUUUCUAAAUCAGGAUCAAAGCAAGCUGGAGGCUCCCUCACUCAGCUCACAAGUCCUGUGAAAUCAGGAAAAAAAUAUCAGUUAGACACUGAGUUCCCAGGCAGCCAAAAACCAAAGAUUUCCCACCACCAAAGACAAGGUAUCUUGGAUUUCCAAGGGAACAGAAUGAGAACUUAUAUCUCUGACUGGCAUUUAAAUCCUACAGCCAUCCCCUCUCCAGCACAUCCUUUCUCCAGGGAAUGGUCCCAGCACCCAUGUCAGGCACUCACCCAAGUAGUCAUCCAUCAGAGAGCCAAUAGCAAACUGCGAGAGGAAAGGGAGAAAGGAUGGUGAGGUGGGGCCCCACCCCAUUCCGAGCCUUCUGUCAUCUAUUCCCUGCUCAUGGACACAGAGCACAGAGCCCCCAACAACUGUGGAUGGCAAGAGGUCAACAGCGCAGAUGGGGAAAGAGCUUGCUCCAACCCUGAUGACCUGACCUCCACCCCCAAAAUCCACAGCAGCAUGCGAUGACCUGAAGGCGGUCUAAAUGUCACACUGUGGCGAGUGUGUAUGCCCACACAUCCACAUAAAUAUGUUCUACAAAAGAAACGAGAAACCCACAGCUGUCAGCUGUGAAUGAUGACUUUGGAUUAUUUAUAAUCCUACUACCCAGGAGGCUAAGGCAGGCCAGUCAAGCAAGAGACUCACAAUGUCAUUCUUGUCUACACGUGUCCCUACAAUCUUCAAGCGUAUCUCAUCGUCCUGCUGAAUUACAAUGUCCUGUGGAAAGGAGAGAGCAGGGUCAUCAAGCAGACUCAGGCCUGGUCCUCAUCCCUCUCACCAACUCCUCCUCAUUCGCUCACCUCAUCCAUGGUCUUGUAACAAGGGGGGUUCGAAUUUGGAUCAAACUCCAUCUCUGAAGGGAUGGACUAGAAGGAAAUUGACACAAAGGUUAGCAUUUCAAAUAGCUGCAUCAAAGGAUGAGAGUCAGGGGCUGGUUUCUCCUCCUCGGCCUCACCCCACACGCCCAGACUCACGUGUCGAGAGAUGAAGCAGGACAUGGGCCCAAUUUCUGUGAAAAGUCCAACCUAGAAGGAAAAUGACCGUGCUUCAAACGCUCUGAAGCAUCUUUACCUGAUUUCUAGGCACAUUAUUCAUGUUUCUUAACAGUUUAAAUUGUAGCAUUUGUUUUAAUUUCUCUCUGUGUAAUCUUUCAUUUCUUUACAUUUUUGUUCUUCAUUAUUUUUAUGUGUAAGAAUAUUCUGACCUCACAUGUGCCUGUGCACCAUGUACCUGCAGUGCCCAUGGAAGCCAGGAGAGGGUAUUGGGACCCUGCAGAAUUAGGAGUUACAGAUUAUUGUGAGCCAUUGGCUGGGUGCUGGGAGUCAAACCCAGGUCUUAUAGAACCAGUAGGUGCUCUAAACCACUGAGCUAUAGACCCCUUAGCCUUUAAGAAACUUAAUUUCUGAGGCUAGAGAGAUAGCUCAGUGGUUAAGAGCACUGACUGCUCUUCCAUGGGUCCUGAGUUCAAUUCCCAGCAACCACAUGGUGGCUCACAACCAUCUGUAAUGAGAUCUGAUGCCCUCUUCUGGUGUGUCUGAAGAGAGCUACAGAGGAGUGUGUAUAAUAAAUAAAUCAGGGGCUAGAGAGAUGGCUCAGCGGUUAAGAGCACUGAUUGCUCUUCCAAUGAUCAUGAGUUCAAUUCUCAGCAAUCACAUAGUGGCUCAUAAUCAUCUGUAAUGGGAUCUGAUGCCCUCUUCUGAUGUGUCUGAAGACAACAGUGUACUCAUAUAAAUAAAAAUAAACAAACAAACCUUAAAAAAAAAAAAAAAAAAAAGAAAAGAAAACCCAAAACUAAGAUAAAAUAAAAUAAAUCUUGACAACCACAAAAGGCUUAAGGCAACUAAUAAGUGGACUGGGAAUUGAACUCUCACCUUAGGAAAUACCCCGUAACCUUUCUUUUUUUUUUUUUUUUUUUUCUUCUUUUUUUUCGGAGCUGAGGACCGAACCCAGGACCUUGCACUUCCUAGGCAAGCGCUCUACCACUGAGCCAAAUCCCCAACCCCAUAACCUUUCUAUAAAUAAUACUCUUACCUUGUUGACCUGAGUGACCACAGCAUCCACCACUUCCCCUUUAAAGGGCCGGAAAACAAUAGCUUUGUAUUUCACUGGAUAAAGAACAAAACCUCGGCCCGGCUGGAUCACACCAGCACCAAUAUUGUCGAUGGUAGUGACAGCAAUCACAAAGCCAUAUCUGCAGGAAAGAUGAAAAAAGACAGCUACUGUAUGUGAAGAGCCUCUAAAAAGCCACCAGCAAUAGUCUGCGUGUGAUGGAACCUCUGCUCGAACAGCUCGAUGACCAAGAAGAGACAGAACUCAGAUUAGCACCUGAAAUAUUAAAUGGUGCUCUCACAAUUGUACAGUAAAUGCCCAAGAAGGCACAGAUAUGCUGACAUACACCUAUUCUCUCAGUACCAGGACUUGCCAGGUCAGUGGUGAGACAGGUCUUUCGAAAACCACAAAUCAGACAGAAAAUUGUGACGAAAACCUUUAAUCCCAGCACUCAGUGGCAGGCAGUUCUCUGAAUUAGAGGCCAGCUUGGUCCACAUAGUGAGGCCAUCUCGAAACCCAAAACAUUUGCAUAAUAACGGUCUGAUCUCGCAUAAGCGAAGAAAAUUUGGUUUAGCAACCUUUUAGAAGGCCCAAAAUAGGCAAAAACUGGCUGCUUCGGAUGCCUGGAGUGGUGAAAGAGUUCCUCAGAGUAAGUAACAAGCCCUGACUGAAGGAGUGAAGUAGAGGUUACAGAGUAGCGUUAUUGUGCCUGCAUUCAGCAGACGACACUGUGAAUCAGACACUUACUUCCCAGUGCAGGUCCCCUCCACCUCGGUGAACAGCUUCUGCUUCACCGUGUUGAGCAAGUUGGGACCAAAGUAGCGUGGGUGCAGUAGGAUCUCGUGCUCCAGGGAAAUCUG